AUGACCGACGAAGAUAGGAGAAAAUUCCAGGAAGCCAAUACUAUGUUUGUGGGAUGCAUUUUGAGUGUUCUUGCUGACCGUCUGUGUGAUGUGUACAUGCACACAAAUGACGGAAAAAUUCUGUGGGAUGCACUGAAUGCAAAAUUCGGUGCAACAGAUGCAGGCAGUGAACUGUACAUCAUGGAGAGUUUUCAUGACUACAAGAUGGUGAAUAACCGUUCUGUGGUUGAACAAGCUCAUGAGAUACAGUGCAUUGUGAAGGAACUUGAACUCCUUAAAUGUGUUCUACCCGACAAAUUCGUGGCUGGGUGCAUGAUUGCAAAGUUGCCUCCUUCAUGGAGGAAUUUCGCCACAACUCUGAAGCAUAAGAGACAGGAGAUAUCAGUUGAAAAUCUGAUUGCAUCUCUUGAUGUUGAAGAAAAAGCUCGGGCUAAAGAUACCACUGAAAAAGGAGGUGAGUAUUUCAAUCAUCUUCGUGGUGGAUUGAUUCGGGUCGCAAGGGAUUCUUCCGUCCUAAUGGGGAAUGGGUCACAUGCUUCUGUUCGUGGCAUUGGCACGAUGGCUGAAGUUGAAAAUCAACUAGAGAGAAAGAUCAAGCGUCUUAGGUCCGAUCAUGGUGGAGAGUAUUUUCCAAAAGUUUUUGAUGAAUUUUGUGAGGAACAUGGUAUUAUUCAUGAGAGGACGCCUCCCUAUUCACCUCAAUCAAAUGGAGUGGCCGAGAGGAAAAACCGCACAUUGACUGACUUGGUGAAUACCAUGUUAGACACUUCUGGUUUGUCUAAGGCAUGGUGGGGGGAGGCUCUAUUGACUUCAUGUCAUGUCCUGAAUAGAGUUCCCAACAAUAAUAAAGAGAAAACCCCUUAUGAGGAGUGGGUUGGGAGAAAACCAUCACUUUCUUAUUUGCGCACUUGGGGAUGUUUGGCAAAGGUCAAUAUUCCUAUUCCUAAGAAACGCAAACUUGGACCAAAGACAGUGGAUUGUGUCUUUCUAGGGUAUGCUCAACGGAGCAUUGCUUAUAGGUUUUUAGUGGUAAAAUCUGAAGUACCUGAUAUGCAUGUUGAUACUAUAAUGGAAUCUCAUGAUGCAACAUUUUUUGAGAACAUAUUUCCUAUGAAAGAUAUGCAUAGCAUUGCUAGAUUUUCUUCUGAGAUAAUUCCUGAAUCUAGUACAACUGAUGAAUAUUUCGAACAAUCACAUGAGGAAGUCCUUGAGAAGGAUAACAAUGAAGUUCCUAGAAGGAACAAGAGACAAAGGAUUGCAAAAUCCUUUGGUGAUGAUUUCAUUGUAUACCUUGUGGACGACACACCCAAGACGAUUGCAGAAGCAUAUGCAUCUCCGGAUGUAGAUGAUUGGAAAGAAGCUGUUCAUAAUGAGAUGGACUCAAUUCUUUCUAAUGGAACUUGGGAACUAACUGAUAGACCAUAUGGUUGUAAACCUGUGGGUUGUAAGUGGGUGUUCAAAAAGAAGCUAAAGCCUGAUGGUACUAUUGAUAAGUACAAGGCGCGGCUAGUGGCCAAGGGCUACACUCAGAAAGAAGGCGAAGAUUACUUUGACACCUAUUCACCCGUUGCUAGAAUGACCACCAUUCGAGUGUUACUUUCCUUGGCUGCCUCUUAUGGUCUUAUCAUUCAUCAAAUGGAUGUAAAGACAGCUUUUCUCAAUGGAGAGUUGGAAGAGGAGAUCUAUAUGGAUCAGCCUGACGGGUUUGUGGUAAAGGGUGAAGAGAGAAAGGUGUGCAAGUUGUUAAAAUCUUUGUAUGGUCUGAAACAGGCACCUAAGCAAUGGCAUGAGAAGUUUGAAAGAACUUUGACUUCUGCAGGAUUUGUCAUUAACAAGGCUGAUAGGUGUGUUUACUAUCGCCAUGGUGGGGGCAAUAGUGUCAUAUUAUGUUUGUAUGUGGACGACAUACUGAUCUUUGGUACAAACAUUAAUGCAAUUAAUGAGGUCAAGUCUUUUCUAUCAAAAAGUUUUGACAUGAAAGAUCUGGGAGAAGCCGAUGUAAUUCUAAACAUCAAACUUAUUAAGGAUGAGAGUGGGAUUACAUUAACGCAAUCUCACUAUGUUGAGAAGGUCUUGAACCGAUUCGGUUUUAUGGAUAGCAAGCCUUCUCCAACACCUUAUGAUCCCAGCGUGACACUCAGAAAGAACAAGAAAGAAACGAGAGAUCAAUUAAGAUACUCUCAAAUUGUCGGUUCACUCAUGUACUUAGCUAGCGCUACAAGACCAGAUAUCUCUUUUGCUGUGAGCAAACUGAGUAGGUUCAUGUCCAACCCGGGUGAUGAUCAUUGGCAUGCACUAGAAAGGGUCUUGCGCUAUCUGAGAGGUACUAUGAGUUACGGAAUUACUUAUUCAGGGCAUCCUGCUGUGCUAGAAGGAUAUAGUGAUUCAAAUUGGAUCUCCGAUGUUGAUGUACUUUACGCAACAAGUGGGUAUGUAUUUACUCAUGGUGGUGGUGCAGUGUCAUGGAGGUCUUGCAAGCAAACCAUAUUGACGAGGUCAACUAUGGAAGCAGAAUUAACUGCUUUGGACACAGCUACUGUUGAGGCAGAAUGGCUGCGUGAGCUCUUGAUGGACUUGCCGGUUGUUGAAAAACCUACCGGCUAUUCUUAUGAAUUGUGA
RNAcentral lists this ribosomal RNA (2619 nucleotides) under Triticum aestivum (bread wheat). RNAcentral describes it as "partial small subunit ribosomal RNA". The record is from RNAcentral. Lineage: Eukaryota; Viridiplantae; Streptophyta; Magnoliopsida; Poales; Poaceae.